UUUAUACUCCCUCCCGUCCCAAAAUUCUUGUCUUAGAUUUGUCUAAAGACGGAUGUAUCAAGUCACAUUUUAGUAUUAGAUACAUCCCUAUCUAGACAAAUCUAAGACAAGAAUUUUGGGACGGAGGGAGUACUUG
Molecule: non-coding RNA, 136 nt
Organism: Triticum aestivum (bread wheat)
Lineage: Eukaryota; Viridiplantae; Streptophyta; Magnoliopsida; Poales; Poaceae
Source: Rfam